This 483-nucleotide ribosomal RNA is filed under the name uncultured bacterium. Its description in RNAcentral is "partial 16S ribosomal RNA". It matches the Rfam family "Bacterial small subunit ribosomal RNA", at positions 28 to 507 of the family's 1533-position model. The record is from RNAcentral.
GACGAACGCUGGCGGCGUGCUUAACACAUGCAAGUCGAACGCUGAAGCUCAGCUUUUGUUGGGUGGAUGAGUGGCGAACGGGUGAGUAACACGUGAGUAACCUGCCCCCUUCUUUGGGAUAACGCCCGGAAACAGGUGCUAAUACUGUAUAUUCACUGGUCUUCGCAUGGGGGUUGGUGGAAAGGGUUUUUCUGGUGGGGGAUGGGCUCGCGGCCUAUCAGCUUGUUGGUGGGGUGAUGGCCUACCAAGGCUUUGACGGGUAGCCGGCCUGAGAGGGUGACCGGUCACAUUGGGACUGAGAUACGGCCCAGACUCCUACGGGAGGCAGCAGUGGGGAAUAUUGCACAAUGGGCGCAAGCCUGAUGCAGCGACGCCGCGUGAGGGAUGGAGGCCUUCGGGUUGUGAACCUCUUUCGCUCAUGGUCAAGCCGCAACAAUGGUUGUGGUGAGGGUAGUGGGUAAAGAAGCGCCGGCUAACUACGUG